CACCGCGGUUAUACGAAGGGCUCAAGUUGAUGAACCUCGGCGUAAAGCGUGGUUAAGGUGAAAUUACAACUAAAGCCAAAUAUUUACAAGGCUGUUACACGCAUUCGAAAAUAAGAAGCCCAAUUGCGAAAGUCGCUUUAUAUGUCCCGAAUCCACGAAAGCUAAGAAA
This 169-nucleotide ribosomal RNA is filed under the name Plectranthias longimanus (longfin perchlet). Its description in RNAcentral is "partial 12S ribosomal RNA". The record is from RNAcentral. Lineage: Eukaryota; Metazoa; Chordata; Actinopteri; Perciformes; Anthiadidae.